AAACAUGUCUGUCCUUCGCAAUGUUUUUGCCGUCAGUUGGGAAAAAAAUCUGGAUAACAACAUGAUUGGCUUCACCACAUCUUCCGGCAGUAAGUGUCGAAUACCCACAGGAAGUAGGCAUUGCAUGAACACAUGGCAGUCAUGGCUCUUAAGUCCAGUAAAUUUACCCCCAUCGACAUUCACGCAACGUGCGAUACUAGAAGCAUAC
RNAcentral lists this long non-coding RNA (208 nucleotides) under Prunus persica (peach). RNAcentral's name for it is "long non-coding RNA (PPER_LNC000755)". Lineage: Eukaryota; Viridiplantae; Streptophyta; Magnoliopsida; Rosales; Rosaceae. The record is from RNAcentral.